Long non-coding RNA from Mauremys reevesii (Reeves's turtle), 587 nucleotides. RefSeq lists it as uncharacterized. The record is from RefSeq and is a predicted model, not a curated record. Lineage: Eukaryota; Metazoa; Chordata; Testudines; Geoemydidae. The transcript is spliced from 4 exons.
UUGAGUAUCUGAGUUAAAACAACAGCUGCCUUGUUUUACUAGGGCUGUGUCUUUACUGAAAAUAAGUGGUGGGCAGGCAGAGUUGUAAGAAUGUAAUGUAUGAAUGAGUGUGUGACAGGAAACGGAGAAGCUGUCGGCCAGAGCAGUAUUGUGCUGAACCUUGAAGCAUGUUCCUAUAAUUUUUCUUGAGAAUCAUUCAACAUUAUAAUUAAACUGUCCUGUCCAGCCUCAGAAAAGAGAGAGGUUAAUGUGGAGCCCAGACAGCAGUGUGGAAAGGAUUUUAGCUCACAAGAAUGAUAUGCCUUGACUAAAGAAGAAGGGGGCUACUUUUGAUCAUGCUUACUCACCUCCUGGUGUUAGUAGUGGGAGAGGGAGCGCCUCUGCAUGUACACACUUUGACAGAAACUUUGAAGUCUGCCUUUGUCUGUGAAGGGAGAUGUGUCGCUGGAUCUACAAAGCCGAAAUCUGAUUACAAGGUCCAAACAGAAGCCAGACAAGACCCUUCUUUUGAGGUUGUAGCCCAGCUAUGAAGACACAUGAGCUAUGUGUGGUUAGGAUAAGCUUGAGCUGAAUAUUGAUAUUGUGAG